GAUGAACGCUGGCGGCGUGCCUAAUACAUGCAAGUCGAACGCGCAGCGAAAGGUGCUUGCACCUUUCAAGCGAGUGGCGAACGGGUGAGUAACACGUGGAUAACCUGCCUCAAGGCUGGGGAUAACAUUUGGAAACAGAUGCUAAUACCGAAUAAAACUUAGUAUCGCAUGAUACAAAGUUAAAAGGCGCUACGGCGUCACCUAGAGAUGGAUCCGCGGUGCAUUAGUUAGUUGGUGGGGUAAAGGCUUACCAAGAAGAUGAUGCAUAGCCGAGUUGAGAGACUGAUCGGCCACAUGGGGACUGAGACACGGCCCAAACUCCUCCGGGAGGCUGCAGUAGGGAAUCUUCCACAAUGGGCGCAAGCCUGAUGGAGCAACGCCGCGUGUGUGAUGAAGGCUUUCGGGUCGUAAAGCACUGUUGUAUGGGAAGAAAUGCUAAAAUAGGGAAUGAUUUUAGUUUGACGGUACCAUACCAGAAAGGGACGGCUAAAUACGUGCCAGCCGCCGCGGUAA
Molecule: ribosomal RNA, 513 nt
Filed under: uncultured bacterium
Lineage: Bacteria
Description: partial 16S ribosomal RNA
Rfam family: Bacterial small subunit ribosomal RNA
Source: RNAcentral